This is a long non-coding RNA of Lolium rigidum, 850 nucleotides long. RefSeq lists it as uncharacterized. Lineage: Eukaryota; Viridiplantae; Streptophyta; Magnoliopsida; Poales; Poaceae. The record is from RefSeq and is a predicted model, not a curated record. The transcript is spliced from 4 exons.
GAGCGACGCAGAGCUUGCUCGGAACCAAGAAGCAGCAGAUCGUAUUCUCCCUCCAGGUCCUACUAUCGAAAAGAUCCUUGCAAAGGAUGCACAAGUUCUUGAUCCGUAUGAGCAGAAGGUCAUUCACAUUGAAUAUGUCACCAUGAGACCCAAGAGUGGAUCUGAGUGGGAUUUUUGUUCCGCCUGCUAUUUUGGGGACGGCAAAAAACUCAGACAACACAAAGACGCUCUGGGGAAUCAUUUUGAUACCAAGCACGAUGAUGGUGGAGCAUGGGACAGGUGCCAAGUGUGUCAGGCCGUGUUUUACACUCAGCAGCUUAAAUGCCACUAUAAGUAUUGCCACCCGCACAUUGCAUUUGGUUAGGGAUUUGAAGCAGGUCUCAUCAUGAUCAUGCACGUGUCUCAAUCAGGAGAAGGCGUUUACAGUGGCUGGUGGUAGAGAAAAGCACAUGUUCUCCUAAAACAGCCCGUCAUUUUCUCGGAGAUGAUUUGUACAUCAGGAUGUUUCACCUUUUGGUUUUUCGUUUUCUCAUCUAGGAUCUAGGAGAAGAGAUAAUCUCAUAUUCAUUAGGUUAUCGUACAAAUUUGUGAUAAUUGUCCAAAACAUCAUUCCCAGUACUUCAUUGCUCAAGCAGCACACCUCCUGGCGUGAAGUUUAUAUCAUGGCAAUUCUCUUUGAUGAGUAAUAGGGCAAGUCUAAUGAACCUUCAUAAAGAUUCUUUAAUUCAGUUUGCAUAUGAGCAAUGUAGUGGGCCUGAUCAAUUUGCAUAAAGAUUAUGUCAUUUCAGUUCUCGCUGAUGAGCAACUGUGUAUGCCUUGUCUGUCUUGGAAUUGAGAGCUUGAAUGAUUA